Molecule: ribosomal RNA, 477 nt
Filed under: uncultured bacterium
Lineage: Bacteria
Description: partial 16S ribosomal RNA
Rfam family: Bacterial small subunit ribosomal RNA
Source: RNAcentral
GAUAAACGCUGGCGGCGUGCAUAACACAUGCAAGUCGAACGAUGAAGAUUAAAAGAUUUCUUCGGAAUGAACUUAAUUGGAUUAGUGGCGGACGGGUGAGUAACGCGUGAGUAACCUGCCUUGUACAAGGGGAUAGCCGUUGGAAACGACGAAUAAUACCCCAUGACAUCAAAUAAUCGCAUGAUAAUUUGAUCAAAGAUUUAUCGGUAUAAGAUGGACUCGCGUCUGAUUAGCUAGUUGGUAGAGUAAAAGCCUACCAAGGCAACGAUCAGUAGCCGGCUUGAGAGAGUGUACGGCCACAUUGGGACUGAGACACGGCCCAGACUCCUACGGGAGGCAGCAGUGGGGAAUUUUGCACAAUGGGGGAAACCCUGAUGCAGCGACGCCGCGUGAUUUAGAAGGCCUUCGGGUUGUAAAAAUCUUUUGUAUGGGAAGAAAAUGACAGUACCAUACGAAUAAGGACCGGCUAAUUACGUG